UACGUAGGAGGCAAGCGUUGUCCGGAAUUACUGGGCGUAAAGCGCGUGUAGGUGGUGGGACAAGUCUGCUGUGAAAGCGCCUGGCUUAACCGGGCGAGGUCGGCGGAAACUGUCCGACUAGAGGACGGUAGAGGGGGGGUGGAAUUCCUGGUGUAGCGGUGAAAUGCGCAGAUAUCAGGAGGAACACCGGUGGCGAAGGCGGGUCUCUGGGACGGUACUGACGCUGAGACGCGAAAGCGUGGGGAGCGAACAGG
RNAcentral lists this ribosomal RNA (254 nucleotides) under uncultured bacterium. Its description in RNAcentral is "partial 16S ribosomal RNA". It matches the Rfam family "Bacterial small subunit ribosomal RNA", at positions 524 to 776 of the family's 1533-position model. The record is from RNAcentral.